UUACACAAUCAGUGUUGAAGA
RNAcentral lists this non-coding RNA (21 nucleotides) under Caenorhabditis elegans. The record is from RNAcentral. Lineage: Eukaryota; Metazoa; Nematoda; Chromadorea; Rhabditida; Rhabditidae.